Molecule: long non-coding RNA, 467 nt
Filed under: Salmo salar (Atlantic salmon)
Lineage: Eukaryota; Metazoa; Chordata; Actinopteri; Salmoniformes; Salmonidae
Description: lncRNA (ENSSSAG00000112758.1, ENSSSAG00075008925.1)
Source: RNAcentral
GACAGCAAGGGCGGUUUGUAAUAUAUUCAGAAGCAGUGGAUGGUGUGCAGGCCUCCUGACUAAAAGUCCAUUACCGAAUACCUCUCUCCUCCGCCGACGUCGUCUUUGAGCAGCCUCUGGGAUAUGUUAAAUCGCCUUGGGGGUUACGAGCAAGGGAUCCAAUUCAGUAAAGUCGUACUUCUGGUCAAAAUGCUGUGUGUUUUUGAGAUGUUACAGAGUGAGGACACAUCACGGGAUGUCAUCAGAGACUGUGAGGCGGGCGUAUCUCAGGUUUACCUGAAAACAUAGGGGACACAUCUUGGAGAAACAUGCAAAGAAGGGUUGCCAGUGGAGAAAGCUGAUCGAGAGUGCUUGCAGAGGAUGAGAGAGACAUUUGGACAGUAGUUAUUGUUGACCUGAUGAGUGAUAAGGAGGAUGGCCUGCAAAAUGGAAAAACAAUGUGGUUCGUCAAGCCCCCCUACUUCCGG